CACAUUUCACACACCAAAAUGCAACAUUCUCACCCCUAGUAAUUUCCCGGUUUAAUGACAUGAAGGCCCAAAAUAUCCAUGGGCCUCAUCUAUCUAAUGAUAGAUUUCCUGACACAAGAAUCGAAUUCGAGCCCGCUCAAAUUCUAAACCGUUCGCUAUAAAAAAUCUCUCACUAUUUUCUGGCACCACACACACACACUGAGAGAGAGAGAGAGAGAGAGAGAGAGAGAGAGAGAGAGAAGCAUGAAGAUAUUUGGCAAAUACAUAUUCCCGCGGCAAAUUAUACUCUUUGGUUCGGGGGUUCUGUUCUUGGCAUCAACGACGUACGACGUGCACAGAUCCAUCAAGAACAACGAAACGCCGACGUCCAAGGAGCAAAUCGAAGGGCUGGAAGAUUACAUCAGGUCCGUCCGUCGAUCUCCUUGAUUGAAGGUUCAGAACUCGCCACGUCCGUCUUCGUACCAAAAUAAUCUGCUGCUACGUACCGAAUCUUGUCCAGGUCCCAAAUUCAUGAAAUUGCUCAAUUUUACAGUACGACUUUGGAAACGAUUUACUAUGGGGUUAAAAAACAAUGAAGAAGAGGGUGGAAAUGCAAAGAAGAAGACGCUUCUCUUGUUGUAUAUCCUGUGAAUCACUCGUAUGAUGAGUGGUAUAUAUGUUGUUGCCUAUCUAUCAGCUUGUUUGAUUCUAUCGAAUUUUGGAUUAGAGUUUUAAGCAGGUUUAUUGGUUGUUAGAAA
Rhododendron vialii is the source of this 737-nucleotide long non-coding RNA. RefSeq lists it as uncharacterized. The transcript has 2 exons. The record is from RefSeq and is a predicted model, not a curated record. Lineage: Eukaryota; Viridiplantae; Streptophyta; Magnoliopsida; Ericales; Ericaceae.